CCAGCACAAGACGUCAUUUAGACGUUGUUUUUUGGGCUAAAUCACGUCGGCCCGUCAUGACCUUCAUUUAGUCCAAAAAAAGACGUUGAAAACUGGUCUUUGUUUGGUCCGUCUAAUUCAGUCCAAAUUUAGCCUAAAAUUAGACGUCUUUUUCGGACCACUUUUCAACGUGUCUCCAUUCAAUAAUAAUCCAGACAAAAUAUGCAUGAAUGUAUACGCAGAAAAAAUAAAUACUGAGCACAUUGAACGAUAAUGAAAUGCUUUGUUUAAAGUCUAUUAAUAUUUCUGUUUAUUUUAAUUAAAUAAAUAUGUUAAAUGUGCUCUAAACAGGUCAUUUUGGUCCACUACAGCACUGAUAGAAGCACUUCAUUUUCAUCUUUUAACAAAUAUCUUUAUUUUCUUUUAAUAUGAUAUUAUUGGCAGAGGCGCGCGACCAUCUCAUGCUUUGUGGUCACGUGAUUAUUCAACCGGAGACGCGCGUUAGGGAUUUUCUCCUCAGACCAGUGUUUCUGUUUUGUGGUCGAUUCUGGGAUCCUUUUCUUGGUGUGUCUUGAUGUUUUCUAUUGGCUAAAGACAUGUCUCUGUGAAACUGACAAUCUCAGGUAGGAGCUGCUGGUUUGUGGUUGGCAGUAUGGAUCACAGUCUGCGACUCAUGAGGAGCUGGGCUGGAGACAUGAAGAGGUUGUUAACAGGCCAUCCAUCCAAGAUCAUCUAUCUGAGCUGCUGAAAACUGCCUCGGUACGGAUCUGUUGGAGCUUUGUGUCACUGACUGUAUUUCUGCAAAUUCCUGUUCCGUGUCAAAUGGCUUAUGCAAGACUGAAUCCAUAAAGGGGAUGGUCUGUGGAGACUGUGGGCGAUUCCUUCUGCUGUCAUUUAAACAUGAGCAGGAGUAAUGACGGGAUUUAAAUGGACAAAGCUAAUAUUAUGCCAGAGUCCGCUGCUUAUGUUGUAACCAUAAAGCAACCAGGACAACACACCUGGAGUGACCGAGAGCAGGAUGAAGAAAGAAUCGGACGAGAAAAUAUCAACUGGUGCCCAUGAGGAGACAUAUUGUUCUUGGACCUGCUUUUUCUGUUUAGUAAUAAGUGGUUUUAUGUGGUUACAUAAAAGUAAUUUAAUAUUCAAUCCACAAGCUAAAUUUCCUACAUUUUCUUAAAAGGGUAGUUGACCCAAAAAGGAAAAUUCUGUCAUUUACACAAACAGUUUGGUUACAAACAUUUCUCACAAUAUCUGCCUUCCUGUUUAUCAGAACAAAGAAAUGUAUGCGGGUUUGUAACAACAUGAGAGUGUGUAAAUGACAUAAUUUUCAUUUUUGGGUGAAGUACCCCUUUAACAUUUUUAUACACAGGGGUAGGGGUGUGCAGCGGAGUCAGUAUUUGUAUCUGUAACAGUCUCAAAAUUAUUUGUAUCUGUAUUUGUAUUCGGAUUAAACCGGAAGUGGGUGGGUUGACAACUCAUAUUACAUUAAAAUGGCAUUUUAAAUGCAUUUUUGCUUUUUAUUAUAAUUAUAACUUAAAUAACUGUAAAUAUUUAUUCAAAAUAAUAAUACAAAAUUUUAAUCAAAAAGACAAAUAACUUGAUUCUCGUUAGUAAUACUCAUGGAAAGCAAACAACUCAUUUU
Paramisgurnus dabryanus is the source of this 1621-nucleotide non-coding RNA. The record is from RefSeq and is a predicted model, not a curated record. Lineage: Eukaryota; Metazoa; Chordata; Actinopteri; Cypriniformes; Cobitidae.